RNAcentral lists this ribosomal RNA (35 nucleotides) under Pneumocystis sp. 'gerbil'. RNAcentral describes it as "Pneumocystis gerbil partial 26S ribosomal RNA". Lineage: Eukaryota; Fungi; Ascomycota; Pneumocystomycetes; Pneumocystales; Pneumocystaceae. The record is from RNAcentral.
UUUGACCUCAAAUCAGGCAGGAUCACCCGCUGACA